Molecule: ribosomal RNA, 407 nt
Filed under: uncultured Pseudomonadota bacterium
Lineage: Bacteria; Pseudomonadati; Pseudomonadota
Description: bacterial SSU rRNA
Rfam family: Bacterial small subunit ribosomal RNA
Source: RNAcentral
UUAGGAAUUUUGCGCAAUGGACGAAAGUCUGACGCAGCGAUGCCGCGUGAGGGAUGAAAGCCUUCGGGUUGUAAACCUCUUUUGGUCGGAACGAAAAAAAUGACGGUACCGACAGAAAAAGCACCGGCUAACCCUGUGCCAGCAGCCGCGGUAAUACAGGGGGUGCAAGCGUUACUCGGAAUUAUUGGGCGUAAAGCGCGUGUAGGCGGUUUACUAAGUCUGGUGUGAAAUCCCUGGUCUCAAGCCAGGAAGUGCAUCGGAUACUGGUAGACUUGAGUGCAGGAGGGGGUGGCGGAAUUCCUGGUGUAGAGGUGAAAUUCGUAGAUAUCAGGAGGAACAACAGUGGCGAAGGCGGCCACCUGGACUGUAACUGACGCUUAGACGCGAAAGCGCGGGGAGCAAACAGG